UGCUUAUGUUGUGUUACUUGGUGG
This 24-nucleotide non-coding RNA is filed under the name Arabidopsis thaliana (thale cress). Lineage: Eukaryota; Viridiplantae; Streptophyta; Magnoliopsida; Brassicales; Brassicaceae. The record is from RNAcentral.